Molecule: long non-coding RNA, 665 nt
Organism: Sander lucioperca (pikeperch)
Lineage: Eukaryota; Metazoa; Chordata; Actinopteri; Perciformes; Percidae
Exons: 2
Source: RefSeq, a predicted model, not a curated record
UCUCUCUCUCACACUCACACAUAUCCUCUUCAAGGCUUUAGAUUUUCUCUCUGGAUGCCUUCUGAAAGGAUUUGUAAAAACUUAAAUUAGCUUAAUUAUUCUUUCCUAUAUUCUGGAUUUAAAAUGUUCCAUCUGUCUCAUGUCAUACAGCAUGACUGCAGUUAACACAAUAAAUAUUACUUUUUUCUUUCACUUCUCUUGUGUGUGUGUGUGAUGUUUGUCACCUAUCUGUAAACUGUUAUAAACUGCAGUCAGAUGUAGGGCUCUCUGUAUGUGUUAAUGCACAUAGCCUUGUGGUUUCCAACAGGUUCCUUUUUCACAGCAACAAAGUGGCCCUGAGCAACAUCACUGAAGCCCCUUCUGUUUACUCACUAAGUCAUUUUGGAAAGCAUCAGAAAAGUGCAGGAUUAGGGUGUGAGAAUGUCAAAAAUCAGAAAAAGCAUGUGAAUAUAAUGCGCUUUAAGGCAUUAUGGUGUAUUCUGUUAUUUGACUUGUUUCCUUUGCUGUGAAAUAUUUAGACACUCUUACUGUAGCUGCAUAUUACACUGUGUCUACACAGGUGACGUUGCAUUGGCAGCAGCUCUAGUCCUCCGUCUCUGUAUACUGUGGUGGGAAUUCUAAUAAUGUACAUAGGCCAAGAUCUGAAAUAAAGCUUCAGUCAACAA